AUUUUUUUGUUGUUGUCAACGAAUAUAAGAUUUAUAAAAAAAAGAGAAAAGAAAAGAGAGAC
RNAcentral lists this small RNA (62 nucleotides) under Arabidopsis thaliana (thale cress). Its description in RNAcentral is "ATSL145450". Lineage: Eukaryota; Viridiplantae; Streptophyta; Magnoliopsida; Brassicales; Brassicaceae. The record is from RNAcentral.